UCCUUGGUGAUCCAGUGGCUAAGACUCUGAGUUCCCAAUCCAAGGGGCCCAGGUUUGAUUCCUGGUCAGGGAA
Transfer RNA from Ovis aries (sheep), 73 nucleotides. It matches the Rfam family "tRNA". From Rfam's summary of the family: Transfer RNA (tRNA) molecules are approximately 80 nucleotides in length. Their secondary structure includes four short double-helical elements and three loops (D, anti-codon, and T loops). Further hydrogen bonds mediate the characteristic L-shaped molecular structure. tRNAs have two regions of fundamental functional importance: the anti-codon, which is responsible for specific mRNA codon recognition, and the 3' end, to which the tRNAs corresponding amino acid is attached (by aminoacyl-tRNA synthetases). tRNAs cope with the degeneracy of the genetic code in two manners: having more than one tRNA (with a specific anti-codon) for a particular amino acid; and 'wobble' base-pairing, i.e. permitting non-standard base-pairing at the 3rd anti-codon position. Lineage: Eukaryota; Metazoa; Chordata; Mammalia; Artiodactyla; Bovidae. The record is from Rfam.